ACCCCUUUUUGUCUUUUGGCUAAGAUAAAGUGUAGUAUCUGUUAUCAGUUUAAUAUCUGUCUGAUAUGUCCUCUAUCUGAGGACAGUACUAUCAAAUGGAUUUUUAGAGCAGGGAGUUGGAAUAGGAGCUUGCUCCAUUCACUCCACUCAUCAACCUGGUAUUACAGUACCAAAAAAUGGUUUUAUCAACCUUAA
Small nuclear RNA from Suncus etruscus (white-toothed pygmy shrew), 195 nucleotides. RefSeq annotates it as U2 spliceosomal RNA. The transcript has a single exon. The record is from RefSeq and is a predicted model, not a curated record. NCBI's taxonomy places the organism in Eukaryota, Metazoa, Chordata, Mammalia, Eulipotyphla, Soricidae.